RNAcentral lists this transfer RNA (91 nucleotides) under Bacteriovoracaceae bacterium. Its description in RNAcentral is "tRNA-Ser". It matches the Rfam family "tRNA". From Rfam's summary of the family: Transfer RNA (tRNA) molecules are approximately 80 nucleotides in length. Lineage: Bacteria; Pseudomonadati; Bdellovibrionota; Bacteriovoracia; Bacteriovoracales; Bacteriovoracaceae. The record is from RNAcentral.
GGAGAAUUGGCCGAGUGGUUGAAGGCGCACGCCUGGAAAGCGUGUAACGGUCAAAAGCCGUUCGCAGGUUCGAAUCCUGUGUUCUCCGCCA